Molecule: transfer RNA, 73 nt
Filed under: Microbacterium phage Pumpernickel
Lineage: Duplodnaviria; Heunggongvirae; Uroviricota; Caudoviricetes
Description: tRNA-Thr
Rfam family: tRNA
About the family: Transfer RNA (tRNA) molecules are approximately 80 nucleotides in length.
Source: RNAcentral
GCCGCCUUAGCUCAGGGGUAGAGCACUUUCUUGGUAAGAAAGAGGCCGUGGGUUCGAGACCCACAGGUGGCUC